UUUGUUGCUGUCGGCCCCUGCUGUUCUCAUUUAGAUCUCAGGAUUCUGCAGAUUUGGAGCGAUGGUGGGUGAAGCUGAUCUUCUUUAUUUGUGAACCGGGGUUCACGUCAAAGGAGCCGCUCAGAUACUCUCCUGUUAGCUUUGUGAAAGCAAGCAUAAUUCACAAUAGCCAGGAUGUGGAAACAACCCAAGUGCCCUUCUACAGAUGAAAGGAUAAAGAAGAUGUGGCAUAUAUAUAUACAAUGGAAUACUACUCAGCCAUAAAAAUGACAAAAUGGUCCCAUUUGCAACAACAUGCAUGGACCUGGAGGGUGUGGUGUUAAGCGAAAUAAGCCAGACAGAGAAAGGCAAAUACUGCCUGAUUUCACUCAUAUGCGGAUGAUAACAAAUACAAGGAUAAAGAGAACAGAUUAGUUGUUACCAGAGGGGAAGGGGGUUGGAGGGUGGGCGAAAGGGACAAAGGGGCACAUAUGUAUGGUGAUGGAUAAAAAUUAGACUACUGAG
Long non-coding RNA from Equus caballus (horse), 504 nucleotides. Lineage: Eukaryota; Metazoa; Chordata; Mammalia; Perissodactyla; Equidae. The record is from Ensembl.